Molecule: transfer RNA, 73 nt
Filed under: Paludibacteraceae bacterium
Lineage: Bacteria; Pseudomonadati; Bacteroidota; Bacteroidia; Bacteroidales; Paludibacteraceae
Description: tRNA-Thr
Rfam family: tRNA
About the family: Transfer RNA (tRNA) molecules are approximately 80 nucleotides in length.
Source: RNAcentral
GCUUCAAUAGCUCAGUUGGUAGAGCAGUUCUCUUGUAAAGAGCAGGUCGUCGGUCCGAGUCCGUCUUGAAGCU